Hyla sarda is the source of this 1706-nucleotide long non-coding RNA. RefSeq lists it as uncharacterized. The record is from RefSeq and is a predicted model, not a curated record. The transcript has 3 exons. Lineage: Eukaryota; Metazoa; Chordata; Amphibia; Anura; Hylidae.
UGCAAAUCUAAAAGCACUAUGUAGCAGGAGCCUCUAGGGGGAGCUCGCUACUUUAGGAUUUACAGUUACCAUAGAGAAGCAUGGAAGCUGCGGACUGUCAAUCCAGCAGAAGUACAGCCAUGUGAGAAGAAUUUUAAUGUCCUAGCGGGUGGGAAAUCAGGAAGCGGAGAUCGCUCAAGUAUAGAUAUAAUCCAUAGCCACUGACCUGCCACAGCGUCAGUGGGGAUUGUAGUGGAACAUAACGGAAGUUGGAAGACAAGGCCAACAGCUGCAAGGCCUGUGUAGAGAAAAAAACUAAUGUAGAGGUAAGAAGCUCAGCGCCCAGCCAGACACUACUGUGAGUUUGAACCAGACCAGGAAUGCCUAACACAAGGAAAUAUUUUGUUACGCUAAAGAUAGAAAUUUGUAAUUAGGUUGAUGCCCAACACCAGGAUGAGAUUUAAAACUGAUAUGUAAUACAUCGGGACACAGAACCUAACAGCAUACGCAUUUUGGUCGACAGACCCUAAGUCAUGACAAAACAUUGAUACAAAAGAAAAGAUUUUAAACAAUACAUACACUGGUCAUGUGACUGGUUACUAAUGAGUUUUGUUUUAACUUUUUUUUUUAGCAUCUCAAAUAUGUCUUCGGACCCUAUCUUUCAAAGCUUUUAGAUGUACUUCCUACAUACUGAUGUUUUACACACAAUACAGGAAGCCAGAUAUACUAUAAAGCUUCAACAGUUAGUGUAGUCUAUUACUAUAUAUGUUUUUUUGGUACUGUGUGCAAUAUUGGUUUGUUACUGACAGAUAAUUACAUGUGCAUUUUUUUGUGACCACAUUUCCAGUUCUUUGUAUGUCAGAGCUAUGUACCUGGUUGAGAACAUUGCUCACUUUUAAAUAAACUAGGGAGAAGUAUUAAUCCCAAAGUGGAGCAAUUUUAAGAUGCCAUUUUAAAGCCCAUGGCAACUAUAUCACCUUAACCCCUUAAGGACGUCCUGGUAGUUAAGGACACAGGGUGUACCUGUAUGCCCGUGGGAAUUCCGGUCUCCACCGCAGGCACCCCGUGAUCAGUUCAGAUCAGCGAUUCCGGGCUGAUCUGGUCUCUGGUGACCCGAUCGCCAGGAAAAUGGUGACCCGGUCCCCUGUGAUUGGCCGUUCAGGAGUGAUUGGCGAAUCGUGUGGGGGGGACGAGACAAUGUUUACAGUUGAAAUCCUCCGCUCUGGAAGUCCUGGGGGGGACCAGCGGCAGAUACCUUAGAAAUGGCGCCAGGCAUCUGGAGACCUGGGACCAGCGGCAGGCAAGUGGAGGCGGCGUCAGAGGCAGCAGUGAAGAUCGCUGUAAAGUGAUCUUCACUGCUGCUUCUAGGAGUUUAAAAACUACAACUCCCAACAUGCCCAGACAGCUUUUGGCUUUGCUUUAUAUGUGAAUGAUAUGCCCGCGGGAGAGAUAAGAAAAUACAGUUAUUAUUUAGAGAGUUAAGGAGUUUUCACUUCCCUUUUCACUUCAUUUAUAUGCAGCUCUACAUCUACCCAAUGCGAGAAGGUGUUGUUAUUCCACCAUGUUUGCAGUCAAGCCAUAUGUAUAGCUUGGUAACAUUUUAUUAAAUCCAGGCAUCCCAAACCUUCCUGUUUCACAGGCAUGUCCAUGGUUUUGUAGCAUACCCUAGAUUUUUUAUUUCGCGAAAUACAUUUAAAAUGAAUAGAUUACAAUCUUUUAAUAACUAC